UGGGGUUGUAGCUCAGUGGUAGAGCACUUGCCUAGCGUGUGUGAGGCACUGGGUUUGAUCCUCAGCACCACAA
This 73-nucleotide transfer RNA is filed under the name Marmota monax (woodchuck). RNAcentral describes it as "tRNA.Ala". It matches the Rfam family "tRNA". From Rfam's summary of the family: Transfer RNA (tRNA) molecules are approximately 80 nucleotides in length. Their secondary structure includes four short double-helical elements and three loops (D, anti-codon, and T loops). Lineage: Eukaryota; Metazoa; Chordata; Mammalia; Rodentia; Sciuridae. The record is from RNAcentral.